Molecule: long non-coding RNA, 205 nt
Filed under: Gossypium barbadense (sea-island cotton)
Lineage: Eukaryota; Viridiplantae; Streptophyta; Magnoliopsida; Malvales; Malvaceae
Description: long non-coding RNA (GBAR_LNC004418)
Source: RNAcentral
UUUUGGUGUUUUCAUGCUAACACCUUUUACAAAAGUUGUUUAUAACACAACUAGGACUCAUAUUCCUCCAUAAAAACUCAAUAAAAAUCACAAAUCCUUUCAUGGAAACACUCUAAACUCUUGACCAUUUUGCAAGAUAUCACCCUCAUUUGAAAACUCAUGCUUCAAGGGUCUCAAAAAUGCAAAAAUCAUCAACAAAGGGUGU